GAGAAGCAAGACCGUGAGGUGGAGCAAAACUCAAAAACUUGUCUCAGUUCGGAUUNUAGGCUGAAACUCGCCUACAUGAAGCUGGAGUUGCUAGUAAUCGCGAAUCAGCAUGUCGCGGUGAAUACGUUCCCGGGCCUUGUACACACCGCCCGUCACACCAUGAGAGUUGGCAAUACCCAACGUACGUGAUCUAACCCGCAAGGGAGGAAGCGUCCUAAGGUAGGGUCAGCGAUUGGGGUGAAGUCGUAACAAGGUACC
Molecule: ribosomal RNA, 258 nt
Filed under: uncultured bacterium
Lineage: Bacteria
Description: partial 16S ribosomal RNA
Rfam family: Bacterial small subunit ribosomal RNA
Source: RNAcentral